AAAGCCUUCAGGGGGAGCCAACAGGCUGAGAGUGGACACAGACGUUCAGACCCUUUGAACCUGUUAGUUAACACUAGCGCAGGGAUGGCGGCUUUUUUGAUG
RNAcentral lists this non-coding RNA (102 nucleotides) under Sediminibacillus halophilus. Its description in RNAcentral is "TPP sequence". It matches the Rfam family "TPP riboswitch aptamer (THI element)". From Rfam's summary of the family: Vitamin B(1) in its active form thiamin pyrophosphate (TPP) is an essential coenzyme that is synthesised by coupling of pyrimidine and thiazole moieties in bacteria. The previously detected thiamin-regulatory element, thi box was extended, resulting in a new, highly conserved RNA secondary structure, the THI element, which is widely distributed in eubacteria and also occurs in some archaea. Analysis of operon structures identified a large number of new candidate thiamin-regulated genes, mostly transporters, in various prokaryotic organisms. The record is from RNAcentral. Lineage: Bacteria; Bacillati; Bacillota; Bacilli; Caryophanales; Bacillaceae.